GGGCGUAUGGUGUAGUGGUAUCACUCAUGCUUUGCAGAGCGGCAUUUUCGUUUGCUAAUCUUCCUUGUAUGCGGUCCAGGGUUCAAACCCCUGUGCGUCCA
Mycena latifolia is the source of this 101-nucleotide non-coding RNA. The record is from the annotation of a GenBank genome assembly. NCBI's taxonomy places the organism in Eukaryota, Fungi, Basidiomycota, Agaricomycetes, Agaricales, Mycenaceae.